CGUACGAGAACUAUUUAGCCCGCCAAAAGAUAAUAAAAAAGGCCCACGGAGUAGAGUAACGCAUGGGUAAUCUUCCUCAGAAUUUGGGAUAACUCCGCGAAAGCAGGGGCUAAUACCGGAUAAUAUUUCAGGAUUUUCGGGUCUUGAAAUCUAAAAGUGGACUACAACAAAUAAGCUACUGUUUGGAGAUGAGCCCGCGUACCAUUAGCUUGUUGGUAGGGUAAUGGCCUACCAAAGGCUACGAUGGUUAGCUGGUCUGAGAGGAUGAUCAGCCACACUGGAACUGAUACACGGUCCAAGACUCCUACGGGAGGCAGCA
This 319-nucleotide ribosomal RNA is filed under the name uncultured bacterium. Its description in RNAcentral is "bacterial SSU rRNA". It matches the Rfam family "Bacterial small subunit ribosomal RNA", at positions 57 to 352 of the family's 1533-position model. The record is from RNAcentral.